AAACCGGCCCUUUUCAGGGCCACCACAACUUGGUUCGACUUGCUUU
Molecule: non-coding RNA, 46 nt
Organism: Schistosoma curassoni
Lineage: Eukaryota; Metazoa; Platyhelminthes; Trematoda; Strigeidida; Schistosomatidae
Source: Rfam